UACGGAGGGUGCAAGCGUUGUUCGGAAUUACUGGGCGUAAAGGGCGCGUAGGCGGUUGUGUAAGUCAGAUGUGAAAUCCUCCGGCUCAACUGGAGAACUGCAUUUGAUACUGCAUGACUCGAGUAUUGGAGAGGGAAACGGAAUUCCCGGUGUAGAGGUGAAAUUCGUAGAUAUCGGGAGGAACACCGGUGGCGAAGGCGGUUUCCUGGCCAAAUACUGACGCUGAGGCGCGAAAGCGUGGGUAG
RNAcentral lists this ribosomal RNA (245 nucleotides) under uncultured bacterium. RNAcentral's name for it is "partial 16S ribosomal RNA". It matches the Rfam family "Bacterial small subunit ribosomal RNA", at positions 524 to 768 of the family's 1533-position model. The record is from RNAcentral.